Saccostrea cuccullata (small rock oyster) is the source of this 1872-nucleotide RNA transcript. RefSeq lists it as uncharacterized. The transcript is spliced from 4 exons. NCBI's taxonomy places the organism in Eukaryota, Metazoa, Mollusca, Bivalvia, Ostreida, Ostreidae. The record is from RefSeq and is a predicted model, not a curated record.
UCUGAGUCCAUUCCACCUCUGAUUUGGGGCAUGAUUUGACAUAAGAUAUUGUUGUAUAAGACUCCGAGCAGGAAGAUGCCUCUAUUAUCGCAAUCUAUGAGGAGACGGCAUUGUUUGCUGCUCUGGUUACAUAUGGAACACAAAAGCAAAGGAAUGUCAAGGUUGUGGUCCAGGGUUUUUUGGUAUCAACUGCUCGGAGAAAUGUCCUUACCCUCACUAUGGGGAUAGGUGUAGAUAUCGCUGUCACUGUCCACAAGAAAUCUGUAAUAACACCAAUGGGUGCUGGAAAGGAUCAUCAACACUACAUGGAGAAGUAUUGAAAUAUUCUGUGAAAACUACCAUAACCUUAAGAGAAAAACAAACACAAGAGCUUACUGUUUUUAACAAGGAUGUUGCAACAGUAACAUACAUGUACAUGGAACGAUUCAACAAAAGUGCAUUUGCCAAAACAAAAAGAGAAGAGUGUCUUCACGGCGAGCUCUUGAUUGCAACAUGUACCCUUUGCUGUAUUGUGGUUAUUUAUAUAAUGAUCAGGGUGAUUAUCACUGCAUACCAGAAAGCAAAGAAUACAAAGAAAAAAAAAAAGCAUCAAUUUGACACAAGAUUGUUUUGAGAAGCAUAAUGAAUUGGAAGAAUUGAAAUUAGUUAACUUUACUAACCCAGAAAAAGAAACCCCUUAUUAUGAUGGUCCUGCUGAUGCAAAGAUUACUUAUGAUACAACACUACAUAAAUAUGUUGUAGAGAUGACCACAAUUUCAAUUCCAAAAGGAUGCUUUAAAGAGCCAAGUCCAACGCGAUCUGAAAAUCUACAAUCUGUAAAUGUACAUGGAUCGAGGGAGGACGCUUCCUUCGGAAUCGGUUACAUUCAACCCAAAAAUCUAGUUACUCAGGAGCCUUUCACUUUUUUAAGUGAACCACAGAAUACACAAGACGUAAAAGAACAUAAUGUGGAUUUCCCUCAGAAAAGCUCAUAUCUGACUGUUGUUCGAGAUAAAUAACAAAUGAUCGGCUGUAAUCUUUGUAUCUUUCUAUCUAUUGCUAUAUAUAGUUCUCAAUUUGAAAUGUUUAAAAUCUCCUUAGAAUUCCUCACUUAAAAAUUCAUUUUACAUUGCAUUAGUUUUAAAUUCGUUAGGCACUAUCUGUUCUGAAGUGACUUUUUAAAAAUUAACGUAUACUUAUCAGAACAUCUAUUUUUAUACCCCCCGCUUGAAAAGCGGGAGGGUAUAUAGCAAUCGGUAUGUCCGUCCGUCUAGCUGUCCGUCCAUCCGUCUGUUACGCUUUGGGGUACCCAUCUCUUAUCCGCAACUCCUCUCAUACCACUGAAUGAAAUUUGAUGAAACGUUCACAGAAUCUUUAUUGCAUAAAUCCAUUGAGCACCUCCUAUUCUACUUUUUUUUAUCGGACACAUAUUUUUGGGUUUCCCACAGCAAAAUAUGGACACUGCCAUUAUAUUCAUAUGGGAGGCGUGGGGUAUCAUUUAGUGAGCUCAUUGCUCACAGUACUUCUAGUUAUUUAAAGUUUGUUUUCUUAUUCUAAAUAAACUAUACCUAGAUCCUUCACUGCAAUGUCUUUAAAUGAAAAAAAAAAAUUCAAAAUUAAAAUAAAAAAUUAGAAACCUUUUUAUUAAUGAUUCCCUUCAAAUGUAGUAUAAAAGUAAUCUGCAACGGUUUGAGAACGUUUAUUGUGAAACCAUUAAACCUAUAUUUGUUAACAGAGUGGAAUAGCUUAGCUAAUUUAUGUUUUUUUUAACUCCAUUCUAACAAAAAGAAAUGAAUAAAAUCAACUUGAGAUGCGUUGUAAUAGUAAAGAAUCGCUCUAGCAGCUGCAGUUUAUAAUUUUGGCUGUUUUGUUGAAAUGAGAUGAAAAAAGACA